GACGAACGCUGGCGGCGUGCUUAACACAUGCAAGUCGAACGGAAAGGCCCUGCUUUUGUGGGGUGCUCGAGUGGCGAACGGGUGAGUAACACGUGAGUAACCUGCCCUUGACUUUGGGAUAACUUCAGGAAACUGGGGCUAAUACCGGAUAGGAGCUCCUGCUGCAUGGUGGGGGUGGGAAAGUUUCGGCGGUUGGGGAUGGACUCGCGGCUUAUCAGCUUGUUGGUGGGGUAGUGGCUUACCAAGGCUUUGACGGGUAGCCGGCAUGAGAGGGUGACCGGCGACAUUGGGACUGAGAUACGGACCAGAGUCCUACGGGAGGCAGCAGUGGGGAAUAUUGCACAAUGGGCGGAAGCCUGAUGCAGCAACGCCGCGUGCGGGAUGACGGCCUUCGGGUUGUAAACCGCUUUCGCCUGUGACGAAGCGUGAGUGACGGUAAUGGGUAAAGAAGCACCGGCUAACUACGUG
This 468-nucleotide ribosomal RNA is filed under the name uncultured bacterium. RNAcentral's name for it is "partial 16S ribosomal RNA". It matches the Rfam family "Bacterial small subunit ribosomal RNA", at positions 28 to 507 of the family's 1533-position model. The record is from RNAcentral.